AUUGAACGCUGGCGGCAUGCUUUACACAUGCAAGUCGAACGGCAGCGCGGGCUUCGGCCUGGCGGCGAGUGGCGAACGGGUGAGUAAUACAUCGGAACGUGCCCAGUAGUUGGGGAUAGCUCGGCGAAAGCCGGAUUAAUACCGCAUACGACCUUAGGGUGAAAGCGGGGGAUCUUCGGACCUCGCGCUAUUGGAGCGUCCGAUGGCAGAUUAGCUAGUUGGUUGGGUAAAGGCCUACCAAGGCGACGAUCUGUAGCUGGUCUGAGAGGACGACCAGCCACACUGGGACUGAGACACGGCCCAGACUCCUACGGGAGGCAGCAGUGGGGAAUUUUGGACAAUGGGCGAAAGCCUGAUCCAGCAAUGCCGCGUGUGUGAUGAAGGCCUUCGGGUUGUAAAGCGCUUUUGGCGGGAACGAAAAGGACUGUGCCAAUACCACGGUUCGAUGACGGUACCCGAAGAAUAAGCACCGGCUAACUACGUG
This 484-nucleotide ribosomal RNA is filed under the name uncultured bacterium. RNAcentral's name for it is "partial 16S ribosomal RNA". It matches the Rfam family "Bacterial small subunit ribosomal RNA", at positions 30 to 507 of the family's 1533-position model. The record is from RNAcentral.